AAAAUGAGUCUCUCUGGGGAGACAGAGGAGGGGACCACUGCCUCUAAAAUGAGUCUCUCUGGGGAGAGAGAGGAGGGGACCACUGCCUCUAAAAUGAGUCUCUCUGGGGAGAGAGAGGAGGGGACCACUGCCUCUAAAAUGAGUCUCUCUGGGGAGAGAGAGGGGGGGACCACUGCCUCUAAAAUGACUCAAGACACCAGUUCAAAGAGUGUCCAGAAGCCCAGAGCAGAGUCACCUACAACCAGCCUGCUAUCAAUGAAGAGUGAUCAGCCACCUGCUUUCAGCCAGGAACCAUUACCAGAUGACAAUAAUGAAGUGGAGAGUUUGGACAGUGAGGAUGCAUUAAAGAUCACACACAACCUUCUGGACAGAAGAAGUCAAACUCUGCUGACAGUCCAACAAGACAUCAAGGCUAAACUGAAACACAAGUAUCAACACAUAUCUGAAGGAAUUGGACACCAUGGAAACCAAAGUCUGUUCAAAGACAUCUACACAGAGCUCUACAUCACAGAGGGUGGAAGUGGAGGGCUCAAUAAUGAACAUGAGGUUAGACAGAUAGAGAUGGCAUCCAAGAAACGAACCACACAAGAGACACCAAUCAAAUGCAACGACAUCUUCAAGCCUUUACCUGGACAAGACAAACCAAUCAGAACUGUGCUGACAAAAGGAAUCGCUGGUGUUGGAAAAACAGUCUCUGUGCAGAAGGUCAUCCUUGACUGGGCAGAGGGAAAAGCAAAUCAGGACGUUCAUUUCAUGUUUCCUCUUCCUUUCCGUGAUCUGAACCUGAAAAAGGACCAAUACAGUCUGAUGCAACUUCUUUCCCACUACUUCUCAGAGCUGAAAGAGAUUGACAGCAUUGAAGAUGGUGAAACCAAAACUGUUUUCAUUUUUGAUGGUCUGGAUGAGUGUCGACUUCCUCUAGACUUCAAAAACAAUGAGAAAUGCUGUGAUGUCACAAAGCCAACCUCAGUGGACGUGCUGCUGACAAACCUCAUCAAGGGGAAUCUGCUUCCCUCUGCUCUCCUCUGGAUAACCACACGACCUGCAGCAGCCAAUCAGAUCCCUCCUGAGUGUGUUGACCAAGUGACAGAGGUACGAGGGUUCAAUGAUCCACAGAAGGAGGAGUACUUCAGGAAGAAAAUCACAGAUCAGAAUCUGGCCAGUGAAAUCAUCAAACACAUGACGACAUCAAGGAGCCUCCACAUCAUGUGCCACAUGCCAGUGUUCUGUUGGAUAUCAGCCACUGUCCUUGAGAUGAUGCUGAAAGAGGCAGAGAAGGAUGAAGUCCCCAAAACUCUGACCCAGAUGUACUCACACUUCAUGAUCCAAAUCAUUGUGAAGAACAGGAAGUACAACAAAGCCACAGAGACAAACCCAAAGGAACUGUCUCAGUCAGACAAAGAGAUGAUCCUGAAACUGGCUAAACUUGCUUUCCAACAGCUGCAGAAGGGCAACCUGAUCUUCUAUGAGGAGGACCUGAGAGAAUGUGGCCUUGAUGUCACAGAGGCGUCAGAGUACUCAGCAUUGUGUACAGAGAUCUUUAAAGAAGAAUCUGGGCUGUACCAAGACAAGGUCUACAGCUUUGUGCAUCUGAGCAUUCAGGAGUUUCUAGCAGCAGUGCAUGCUUUAGAAUCUUGUCUGGACAAGAAGGAAAAUGUUUUCUCCCCCAAAGCAGUCACUAAGGGUCAAGAUUAUUAUGAAAACAGCCGAUUCAAAUUCUGGUCAUGCAAGUUGAAGCCUGACAAGUUGACGUCAAUCGAUGAUAAUAAUUCCGAUGAUGAUGAUUCCGAUGAAGACAAAAAGGAUGACAAUGAUGAAGAGGAGUCAAUCCAGUUGUCUGACUUACACAGGAGAGCAGUGGACCAGGCCUUGAAGAGUGAGAAUGGACACCUGGACCUGUUCCUCCGCUUCCUUCUGGGUCUCUCACUGGAGUCCAAUCAGAAUCUGUUACGAGGCCUUCUGACACAGACAGGAAGUACAACACAGACCAAUGAGGAAGCAGUUAAGAGAACAGUCAGGUACCUUUCAGACAACAUCAAGGAGGAAUCCUCACCAGAAAGGAUCAUCAACUUGUUCCACUGUUUGAAUGAACUUGGUGCCAACUCUCUUGUUGAAGACAUGCAGACCUCACUGCAUUCAGGAACUCUUUCAGAAACAAGACUAAAACCUGACCAAUGUUCAGCCCUGGCCUACCUGUUACUGAUGUCAGAGGAGGUGCUGGAGGAGUUUGACCUGAAGACAUACAACACAUCAGAGAAAGGUUAUCAGAGGUUGCUGCCGGUAGUGAAAACCUGCAAGAGAGCACUACUAGAUGGCUGUAAACUCACAUAUGAAUCCUGUGAGACUCUGGCCUCAGCUCUGCAGACACCAAACUCCCCCCUGAGAGAACUGGACCUCAGCUACAAUGACCUGGGAGACAGAGGAGUGGAGCUGCUCUGUGAUGGACUAACCAGUCCACUCUGCAACAUACAGACACUAGUUCUUGGUCACUGUGGUCUGACAGAGGGAUGCUGUUCAGAUCUGGCCUCAGUCCUGAGUUCACCCAACUCACAACUGAAACAACUGGAGCUGAGAGACAAUGACCUGCAGGACUCUGGAGUUACACUGCUGUCUGCUGGACUGAAGGAUCCAGACUGUAAACUACACACACUGGGGCUGUCUGGCUGUCUGGUCACAGAGGAGGGCUGUACUGCUCUGUCUUCAGCUCUGAGAUCAAACCCCUCCCACCUGAAAGAGCUGGACCUGAGCUACAAUCACCCAGGAGACUCUGCAGGGGGACUGCUUUCAGCUGCUCUGGUGGAUCCCACAUAUAAACUGAUGAAGCUGAAUGUGGAUCAUGGUGGAGAGGGCAGGCUGAAAUCAGGGCCGAGGAAAUAUGCCUGUCAUCUCACCCUGGACCCAAAUACAGUAAACCCACACCUGAGACUGUCUGAGGGGAACAGGAAGGUGACAUGUGUGGUGGAGAAGCAGCAUUAUGAAGACCAUCCAGACAGAUUUGACUAUCUUUACCAAGUUCUCUGCAGAGAAGGCUUAUCUGGAGGUCGUUAUUACUGGGAGGUGGAGAGGGAUGGUGACAUGGCUGACAUUGGUGUGGUGUACAAAGGAAUGAAGAGGAAGGGACAGGAGGGUGACAGUUGGAUUGGACUCAAUAGGAAGUCCUGGUGUUUAUACUGCUAUGAUAGUGCUUAUGAAUUUAUCCAUGCUGGAGUCAGCAGAUCCAUCUCUGGUCGUUAUUCUCACAGAGUUGGAGUGUAUCUGGACUGGCCGGCUGGUACUUUGUCCUUCUAUAGUGUGUCCUCCUCUGGUACACUGACACACCUUCACACAGAACACAUCACAUUCACUGAACCCCUCUAUCCUGGAUUUGGGGUUUACUCCUCCUCCUCAGUGACCCUGUGUCAGAUACAUGACCAUCACAUUCAGAGAGACCAUGGUGGAGAGAGUUGGACCAAGCCUGGACCUGAGAACACCAGAGACCAUCGUGGAGAGAGUUGGACCAAGCCUGGACCUGAGAACACCAGAGACCAUGGUGGAGAGAGUUGGACCAAGCCUGGUCCUGAGAACACCAGAGACAUUGGUGGAGAGUUUUGGACCAAGCCUGGACCUGAGGACACCAGAGACAUUGGUGGAGAGUUUUGGAUCAAGCCUGGACCUGAGAACACCAGAGACAUUGGUGGAGAGUUUUGGACCAAGCCUGGACCUGAGGACACCAGAGACCAUCGUGGAGAGUGUUGUAUCAAGCCUGGACCUGAGACUCCCAGAGACCAUGGUGGAGAGAGUUGGACCAAGCCUGGACCUGAGACUCCCAGAGACCAUGGUGGAGAGAGUUGUAUCAAGCCUGGACCUGAGACUCCCAGAGACCAUGGUGGAGAGAGUUGUAUCAAGCCUGGACCUGAGACUCCCAGAGACCAUGGUGGAGAGAGUUGUAUCAAGCCUGGACCUGAGACUCCCAGAGACCAUGGUGGAGAGAGUUGGACCAAGCCUGGACCUGAGACUCCCAGAGACCAUGGUGGAGAGAGUUGGACCAAGCCUGGACCUGAGGACACCAGAGACCAUGGUGGAGAGGGUUGGACCAAGCCUGGACCUGAGGACACCAGAGACCAUGGUGGAGAGAGUUGGAUCAAGUCUGGACCUGAGAAAUGGAUUCCCCAGAGCUGUAAGACUUGUGACCAUGUUGAGGAAACAGGCCCCAUAUGCAUUACUGACAUGCUUGUCCUUGUUCAGGACUCCACACACUGGCUUCAGAUUGAACCCUUGACUUCCACUGUCCAGGGAGUGACAAUGUUCAGACACAGGACACCCAAAGGGAGUUAUGAGUGCACAGUGUCUGGGCUCCGCUGGCUGUGUGAGAGAGAUGUCAUUCUGAAGUAUCACUUCAGGAACUGGGGACCCUACAGUCAACUUCUGAAAGACAUGCAGUACACACAAGGUGGUCCAUUGCUGGACAUCACUAUGGAGUUCGGUGAACUGGAGGAAGUUCAUCUGCCACACUUUGUCUGUUUAGGGACCAACCCUUCCCUGAGGAAUGAGAUGAAGAUUCUUCAUGUAGAGGAACAUGGAGUGUCUUUAGAGGAAGUGCAUGAGGUCACCAGAUUCCAUGUUAAGAUUCUCCAUCCCAAGUUCUCCCCUAUCUCUGUUAUACUGAGAUUACUGUCUUGGAACGUAGAUGUCCACUGUGACGUGGUCCUCUACAUGGCAGUAAAAAGGUCAACAAUCAUUUCAAGGCUGUACCUGCUCCUCAGAAACUCCAGUCAGAAAGAGGCUGUUCAGGAACGGGAGAAAAAUCAGGUGUCCAAAGGAUUUUCAGAAUUCGUCCUGUCAAGUCCAAACGGGUCCUUAAAGCUGAACAGUUGGUUUGCGUUCAAGAAUCCCCGCUCCACUUCCAUCAAUCCAGAGAAGAUUCAGCUGUUACCUGCAGACACCACCCCAAGCUGUUGUCAGAUGAUAAUGGGAAACACAGGGGUGGACAUUGAGAUGGAGUUAAUCGGGGAGGAUGAGAGGACAGUAUGGAAAUCAGUGUUAUCAAAAGAUGUGUACAGCAACGACUCUCAUCCAACAUGUAAGUUUGUUUUUGUGGACGAGUUUUAUAAAAUGGGUUAUAGAGCUAACGUCUCUUCAAGUUGGGAUGAAGGACACUGAUGAAGGUCUUCAUGAGUCGUGUUCAGUGGGGUGAUGAAGGUCUUCAUGAGUCAUGUUCAGUGGGGUGAUGAAGGUCUUCAUGAGUCGUGUUCAGUGGGGUGAUGAAGGUCUUCAUGAGUCGUGUUCAGUGGGGUGAUGAAGGUCUUCAUGAGUCGUGUUCAGUGGGGUGAUGAAGGUCUUCAUGAGUCGUGUUCAGUGGGGUGAUGAAGGUCUUCAUGAGUCGUGUUUAGUGGGGUGAUGAAGGUCUUCAUGAGUCGUGUUCAGUGGGGUGAUGAAGGUCUUCAUGAGUCGUGUUCAGUGGGGUGAUGAAGGUCUUCAUGAGUCGUGUUCAGUGGGGUGAUGAAGGUCUUCAUGAGUCGUGUUCAGUGGGGUGAUGAAGGUCUUCAUGAGUCGUGUUCAGUGGGGUGAUGAAGGUCUUCAUGAGUCGUGUUCAUUGGGGUGAUGAAGGUCUUCAUGAGUCGUGUUCAUUGGGGUGAUGAAGGUCUUCAUGAGUCGUGUUCAGUGGGGUGAUGAAGGUCUUCAUGAGUCGUGUUCAGUGGGGUGAUGAAGGUCUUCAUGAGUCGUGUUCAUUGGGGUGAUGAAGGUCUUCAUGAGUCGUGUUCAGUGGGGUGAUGAAGGUCUUCAUGAGUCGUGUUCAUUGGGGUGAUGAAGGUGUAAUGAUAUAAAUACUUACGAAGGCACUGUAUAUGAGGCCUUGUCUUUGUAGAAAGUUGAAUCUGUGCUUGAAAUGUGAUACUUGACUGAGGGACCUUCCAGAUGUUGUAUGUAUGGGGGACAGGUCCAAUUUGACAGAGUAUUUUCAGUAGACUGUUGACAAAACAUUACAAUUAAAUCCAUCUUAAUCCCACUAUGUAACACAAUAGAGAAAUCCAAGGGGUAUGAACACUUUUGCAAGGCUCUGUAUGUUAUGUUGAAUAGACAAUCGUGUCAGCCAGGGUAGGUGUCAAUUCCAAAUAAAUUCAUUUUUAUUUUUUGACUGACUUCAAUUGGAAUUGCCUACAACCCUGGAGUCGGCUCUAUUCAAGAAAUGCCUAUCAGAGGAAUGGUAACUGGAGAGACUGCAAGAUGUAGAAACAUCUGCUGUUAACCCUAAAACCAUAUUCAUUUAUUUCACCCCCCUUCAGCAUUAACACUCUCUGGGAUUCCUGCUGAGGAGUUUCUGAAGAAACACAGGGCUAUACUCAUUCAGGGAGUCAAAAACACAAUGCCAAUAGCAGAUAAUCUGUUGUCAAAGAGCAUGAUUGGUGAUGAAGAGUACUCCAGAAUAAAAGCUGAAACAACUGAACAGGAGCGAAUGAGAGAACUACUGAACGCAGUCCUCCCUAAAGGACCAGAAGUGAUGGGAGCUUGUCUCAAAGCUCUCAGUGAACAUGAACACCAUCUUGUUAAGUACUUGAGAGAAUCUAGGUAAGACCGGUUUCUUUUCUCCCUCCCUUGAAUAUGUGGAAUGAUUAAAUAUAGGUCAAAUAAAAACAUAGCUACCCAGAUCAAAGAGUCUUUUUCAGAAUGGAACCAUGUUUUGUGUUGCUGCCUGUAAUAAAUGUGUCUUAUCAUAGGGCCAUUAUCUCAUCAUUAUCUCAGGUGUAUCAUAGGACCAUCAUCACAUCAUUAUCUCAGGUGUAUCAUAGGACCAUCAUCACAUCAUUAUCUCAGGUGUAUCAUAGGACCAUCAUCACAUCAUUAUCUCAGGUGUAUCACAGGACCAUCAUCACAUCAUUAUCUCAGGUGUAUCAUAGGACCAUCAUCACAUCAUUAUCUCAGGUGUAUCAUAGGACCAUCAUCACAUCAUUAUCUCAGGUGUAUCAUAGGACCAUCAUCACAUCAUUAUCUCAGGUGUAUCAUAGGACCAUCAUCACAUCAUUAUCUCAGGUAUCUCACACCUCCUUCUUCUCCAUACUUUCUGAUCUCUCUCUUCCCUUCUCCUCCAUCCUCUGUCUUGUAGCACCUAAUCUGAAGAUGCUGAGGCCUGUCUCCCCCCUGAAAUGGACAAAAAUGAAUGGCAACAUAUUGGCACUGUACGAAACAUAUGGACGGUGUCCAAUACCACUCAAAUAUUGGCCAUUUCAUUCAAAGCUUAUGGCAAAUGUCAUAGGGCAAAUGCCAAGUGUCAUAACAGCAAAAUCCAAAAGAUGGCGAGCUCGCUCCACCGUAGAUUUUCAUAUUGCAAAUGCACAUCAAGUCAAGACCCAAGAGUCAAAUUUUGAUGUAUCACCCCCCUAAAAAAGAGCUUUCUGGACUGUUUUGUCAAUUAUACAUGUAUAAGAACUGUAUGAACAUACUUUUGUCAUAUUUUAUUGUCAUAAUAAAAAAUAUAAAAAAUGUUUUAUUUGUCCAUAAGGCAUAUGUUUUGUCCAUUUGCAAUAUGAUUUCAUAGGAAGUCAAAAGUCGAAGUCAAAAGUCAGUGAACCAUUGCCAAAUGCCAUAAGAAAUGUCCAAAUGCAAUAUGAAAUCAUUGAAACUGCAAAUCAGGAUGUUAUGUCCAUUUGCCAUGUACGAUCAUAAGAAGUCGGUUUCCAAACGCAAAAGUCAGUGAAUCAUGUCCAAAUGGCAUUUAUACUGCCCAAACGAUAUAUAGCACUAUGUUAAGCCUUGAAUAAACCUAGAUGGUCUAUUUGUCAUGUAUGAUGAGGGAGAAGUGGGACUCGGUUGUUUUUUAACGAUUUGUUUGAAAAACGUCCAACAUGACCAGGGGCACCCCCUAUUGGAUGGUCACGGGUGGGGGGUGCUCCCUACCCUACUAUAGACCCCUUACUCCCCCCUAAAGGCAUUACAACCCAUUUAAAAAAUAUGCUCCUGGUAACCCGUUCCAUACACCAGGUGCAUGCCUGUCCAUAUGCAAUAUGUUUCAAUGGGCGUAUACCAUCACGAAUUUGACAUGCUCAAAACUCCUGCAGAAAUGCAAAAUUGACUGGCCAGAUGAACUCUGGAUGGCCGGGCAGUGAUAGGGGUUCCUCUCCAUCGCUCAUUGUGUUGAUUUCAUCAUGUCCUAUUGGUGAUGUUUUUUCACUGUUGAAUCUUAUUGCAAAUGUACUGUUCAUUUGCAAUAUGUUUAAAUGGGCAUUUACCAUCACGAAUUUGACAUGCUCAAAAAUACUGCAGAAAUGCAAAUUUGACUGGCCCGAUGAACUUUGGAUGGCCGGGCAGGGAUGGGGGUUCCUCUCCAUCGCUCGUUGUGUUGAUUUCAGAAUGUCAAUUUGGUGAUGGUCUAUCACUGUUUAAACAUAUUGCAAAUGGACAAAAGUCAGCCAGAAUGUCACCGUCCAUCAGUCAAUUAGAUAUCAUUCUGAAACCAAACUGACACCACACCCACUUUUUCCAACUCGUUUAGAAGCCAACUAUCACAUAUUUUAGAGCAGGCCCAAAAUUCACAGCUCCUUCUGUUUAAAGCAUAAUAAAAACCUAAAACAGGUAGUUCCGUUCUAUCUGCGUGUCCAGUUCCGACAUUAUGUUUAGGCCUAGCUGAAUCCCAAGUUUUGGCUCGAUAGGUCAUUUGGAGCCCGAGCAGCGAUCUUAAUUGGUGCUGAAAAUCCACAUUUUCAGGCUGUUGCUACGGGGUCCUUGAAUGAGCUAUCGGACAGAAAUGUUGGGGUCCGUCUCUAUGGGCUGAGGUGGUUUCAAUGCACCAAGUCUUGCGACUCUGGGACUUUUCUAAAUGUCGUAAUUUUCGUAAUGGUCAAAAUGAAUUGAAGUUAUUCCAAAUGUACGAGGCUGUUUCUCAGUCUGAGAACCUUCUAGAGCCACAUAACUCACUGUGCAUUAUCAUAUUGAGCUCCUGAACAGGUUUCUAAAGUUCCAGAGCUCUAGGUCUGACGGUUCUUUGAUAGUUCGAAUGAAGGUGACUAUUGCAGGCUCUGUAUGUCUCUAAGCCCCACACUGUGUCACUAUGUCCUAGCUGUGUGUGAGCUUUUCUUGGAAAUCUGAUGGGAGAAAUGACUGAUUUACAGUUCAUGAGGGUUACCUAGUCACACAUUGGAAGUUUUGAAAUGAUCUGACCUUUUUAGCCCUUCGAAACAGCCCCUAUGACCACAAUUUAAGGCACUUCCGGUUGACACAGGAAGCUAAAAGUAAACAUGUCCUCGUUGGGGUAGGCUUUUACAAAAUCCUGAGUUUAAAGUCUUUAUGUAAAGUUUUGACUGAUCUACACAGGGUUGAAUGCAGUGAUUUUCACAAAUGCAGGUUAUGUACAUCAAAACAACUUUUGGGUGAAUUAACCCACUUCUGGUUGCUCCAGGAAGCAUAUAAUCGACACAGGUAGACCUCAUACUGGCCUGAUGGAUUGUUAUCGAAGACAGGUUCAUAAGACAUUCAUAACCCACAUAGGUUUCAGGUUGAAAUUAGGGGUAUUCGUAUGGGGAAAGAAGUCAAUGCAAACUGUUUGAUGUAAACACCUUCUUUUAACAGUUAAGGGUUAAUGCCACACGGUCAAGGUUAGGCUUGCACAGAUCGAGAGGACCUCGGGAACGUUCCUGAGGUCGAAUUGUGCUUCUAACCCUAACGGUUCUCCCACUGUCACCCAAAAGCACCUGAAAUUUAGGGGCAGGCUACAUUUUUGGCCUUCUUUUUUUCACGGUCGCUGCGCUCAGACCGAGCGAGCUAUGGUCAAGUGGGGCAUCUUGUUGAACUCGGCACAGCCUAGAGAUUAUGAUAAUGCCAUGUGUCUUCAAGCCCCGCACUGGAUCACUCUAUCCUUGCUGUGUGUGUGUGUGUGUGUGUGUGUGUG
Molecule: RNA transcript, 9859 nt
Organism: Oncorhynchus keta (chum salmon)
Lineage: Eukaryota; Metazoa; Chordata; Actinopteri; Salmoniformes; Salmonidae
Exons: 21
Source: RefSeq, a predicted model, not a curated record